AGCAGCCGCGGUAAUUCCAGCUCCAAUAGCGUAUAUUAAAGUUGUUGCAGUUAAAAAAGCUCGUAGUUGAAUUUCGGGAUUAGUACGUUGGUCGUGCCUUCGGUACGUACUGGUGUUACUGAUUCCUACCUUCUGACGAACCAUCAUGUCAUUAAUUUGGUGUGGCGGGAAAUCAGGACUGUUACUUUGAAAAAAUUAGAGUGUUUAAAGCAGGCUCGCGCUUGAAUACAUUAGCAUGGAAUAAUGAAAUAGGACGUUGAUCCUAUUUUGUUGGUUUCUAGAAUUGACGUAAUGAUUAAUAGGGAUAGUUGGGGGCAUUAGUAUUCAAUUGUCAGAGGUGAAAUUCUUGGAUUUAUUGAAGACUAACUAUUGCGAAAGCAUUUGCCAAGGAUGUUUUCAUUAAUCAAGAACGAAAGUUAGGGGAUCGAAGACGAUCAGAUACCGUCGUAGUCUUAACCAUAAACUAUGCCGACUAGGGAUCGGAUGAUGUUAUUUUUAAUGACUCAUUCGGCGCCUUACG
This 520-nucleotide ribosomal RNA is filed under the name uncultured Glomeraceae. Its description in RNAcentral is "SSU rRNA". It matches the Rfam family "Eukaryotic small subunit ribosomal RNA", at positions 569 to 1092 of the family's 1831-position model. Lineage: Eukaryota; Fungi; Glomeromycota; Glomeromycetes; Glomerales; Glomeraceae. The record is from RNAcentral.